Oryzias melastigma (Indian medaka) is the source of this 954-nucleotide long non-coding RNA. RefSeq lists it as uncharacterized. The transcript is spliced from 2 exons. The record is from RefSeq and is a predicted model, not a curated record. NCBI's taxonomy places the organism in Eukaryota, Metazoa, Chordata, Actinopteri, Beloniformes, Adrianichthyidae.
CAGUAAAAAAAUAUAUUUAUAUCUUUUUUUAUCUUCUAGCCAACUUGGCUGGUGAGUCAGGAAUUAGAUUUUGGUCUCUGGGGUUGUGACUUCAAACUUGGAGCAUUAAACUACAUGCAGCAAAAUCAGUUUGAAGGCUGUUACUAUCAAAAGUGUUCCGCUGAAUGACUGUAUUGUUUUUCUUUAUUAGAUGCUUAAAUUAGCGGUAGCUCAUAAAACACCUGCUGCAUUGUUCUAUAAACAAUUUUACAGUCUCUAUUUAGUUGCACUUCAUCUUCAAGCAAAUGUCUAAACAACGUGAAAAUAAAAUUAUUUUUGUUAAAAACAUUCUUUUGUUUGUAACCUUUGUUAAAGAAAGUAAAAGGAUGGAGGAAAAAAAUGAUUACAAUUGAAAAUCAAAUUUGGAAUGAAAAAAAUCAGAGAUUAGAUUUUAUUGGCCAUAUCGCUUGGCUGUACAUUCUUGUGGUCUAAUUUGUGUCCAAGCAGAAAAUAGGAACAAUUAUUGCAAACAAAUAAAUACACAAAUAUUAAUGUAAAACAAGUUUUAUAAAUUUAGAAUAUUUAACAAUGAUGACCAGUGGGCUUAAUUUCAGCUGAAAUACGUCUUCCACAAAUUGUUUAUGCUAUUUUUUUUUUUUAUUUUUUAUUUUUUGCUAAUUAUAGUUCCUGUUUACAUUGCAAUCUUCCCCACUUCAUAAUUUUUAGUCAUGUUCUAAUUUCAAAAGCUUAUACUGCAUUACAAAGAAUUACAAAAAUUACUGUACUAAACAAAUGAUAUUUACUUGACAUACUUCAAAGAUUGCCAUCCUGGAAGUCUUUUAUCACUGGACCACUUUAUAUUUUCUAUUUGAGAAUGUCUUUUCUAUUUUCCUCUUCACCAUCCCUCUGUUGUUCCUUUCCUUGUCUGAAAUGACAAUGGUUACAUUAACAGAAAAACAUAUAUACAAAAAAAAU